CUGAUUCGAACUAAACCAAAGGUGGUUUGGUUACGAGGGAGUUCAGGGGGUGGCGCGGUGUGAGUUUGGGCUUGAUUCAUGUAGGUUUGGUUUUGGCUCGAAUCUUCGAUUGAAGAUUUGAGAAGAUGCAGCUUGAUUCGAGGCAAGGGGGUAAGGGAUUUGGGUUCAUGGUGUGAAGGGGUUUUGAUGGUGUUAAAAUGGUGGCUGGCGGCGCUGAUGCCACCGGGUUUCACGCAAAACAUCACAGUUACACAAGAAUCCACCCCCAACCAAAGAUGUUG
RNAcentral lists this long non-coding RNA (281 nucleotides) under Nicotiana benthamiana. Its description in RNAcentral is "long non-coding RNA (NBEN_LNC019571)". The record is from RNAcentral. Lineage: Eukaryota; Viridiplantae; Streptophyta; Magnoliopsida; Solanales; Solanaceae.